Molecule: ribosomal RNA, 459 nt
Filed under: uncultured bacterium
Lineage: Bacteria
Description: partial 16S ribosomal RNA
Rfam family: Bacterial small subunit ribosomal RNA
Source: RNAcentral
CCUACGGAGGACAGCAGUGAGGAAUAUUGGUCAAUGGGCGGAAGCCUGAACCAGCCAAGUAGCGUGCGGGAUGAAGGCCCUACGGGUCGUAAACCGCUUUUGCACGGGGAUAACACCCUCCACUUGUGGAGGUCUGCAGGUACCGUGCGAAUAAGGGCCGGCUAAUUCCGUGCCAGCAGCCGCGGUUAUACGGAAGGCCCGAGCGUUAUCCGGAUUCAUUGGGCUUAAAGGGAGCGUAGGCGGGCGUUCAAGUCAGCUGUAAAAUCGCGCGGCUCAACCGCGCCCCGCAGUUGAAACUGGAGGCCUUGAGUUCACAACAGGCAGGCGGAAUUCGUGGUGUAGCGGUGAAAGGCAUAGAUAUCACGAGGAACCCCGAUUGCGAAGGCAGCAUGCCGGGGUGCGACUGACGCUGAGGCACGAAGGUGCGGGUAUCAAACAGGAUUAGAUACCCGGGUAGUC